UGAAUGCUUUCUUGACUUAUACCCCCCUCCCAAAUCUUCCAAUCCUUCCUGCCUCCACCAUUAAUUUGACUUUGUUAUUUCCUGCUAUGAUUUGUGAUGGUUUUGUGUUUGUGUCCUAUAAAAGGAAACCUAAGUAGUGUUUCUUCAGGUUUAACAUCAAUGCCUUACCUAGAAUAAAAGUCUAAAAAAUAUUAACUGAUAGAUUUUCUUCUUCUCCCCAGUCUGAAUUAAUCUCUCCUGCCCCAGGAUUAUACCUAGAAUAUCAUUUACUACAAUGUGCCUUUAUUACAGUGAUGUGUGUGUGUGUGUGUGUGUGUGUGUGUGUGUGUAUAACAGACAAAGUUUUGAUUUCAAAGAGGACAAGGAUCAGAAGAAAGGAGCUGCAUAGGUAUGUAAGGCACAAUAAAGCUGCUAGACUUAAACUGACCCUUCGAAACAAAAUUAUUAGGAAAUGAACAAAAAUUCAGGUGAAAAACCACAAAGACAAUUUUAGAGAAUGUGAAAAACAAGAAGAAAACGUUAAAAUAAAAGUCCCUGCAGCAGGAUGUGAAUAUGGCAGAGAAUCCAGGCUGAUUCGAACCUUACCCAGGGUCCUACCAGUUCCUUAGCCAAGAAGAACCAGAGACAAGUACAAGGUUAUUAUAGAUCCUUCAAGGUCAUUGUAUUUUGAAACUACAUGUUUCUCAUUCUUGAGUAUGGAUUCCAAUUUCUCAACUAAACAGAAAGGAAGAAAAUGCAACCAUUUUGCAUUCCCUUUCCCUCCUCCUCCUGCAGGACUAAAUGUCUGUCACGCCUGCUGAGUUCCUCCAACAGGAAUGUGGACCCACAGGGGAAAGCAGUGGAGCUUACCUGGAGCAUUACUGGCGCAGCUUUGGAGAAAAUAAAAGUCAGUAAGUGAUUGAAUGACCUAUUAGUGAAUUAUAUACAAAUAUUGUAAAGCACCACAUUCUCUAGAUUCAUGAUGUUUGAUUCCAAUACAGGAGAAGAAAUAGGAGGGAAGGCAAAAUUAAAUAAAAAGCCAAUCAGACAGAAACAGAAACAAACCAAAAGAACCUAAUCACCAAGAAAGUGUGUCAAGAGCUCUUCUUAAGCUUGGAAAUUCCUGCAGAAUAAUAUACAACCUUGAAUAUCUUAUUCCUUUAAAUCUGGAAAAACUAAAAGAGUAAGAAGAUAGCUCCUAAUCUUUAUCUUUUCUAUUACUGCUUAACUAAUUUUAGUCAGCAAAAUUAAGCAACUUUUAUUUGCUUGGCAAGUGAAUAAAAAAGAGAACUUUAAAGCAGUUGAAGCUUUAAGCUUUCAUUGAAAGUUACAGGUAGCUGCCAAAGGAAAAUCUUAUCUGUUGAAAAAGCAAGUUCAGCACUUAGCUGUAGAGCUAUGAAAGUCUGAAGAUAAGAAGAUGUGGUAUCAUUUAAUUAACAGCCACCCAAUGAUGUCUCAAAAGAGAUUAAUUCUGCUUCUUAAGAAGUUAAGACCAACCUUGGUCUCUACCAAAAAACACAUUUUAACCUAUGUUGUGCUUUUUCUUUCUUCCUCCCCCAUUUUUCCAUUCCUUAGAUAUGUUUAUAUUCUCUCCCUAUGCCUUGCUCCUUCUCUCUCUUCUUUUUCCUCAAUAAAAUCAGUCUUUUAACUUAAAAAGAAAGCACCCGUUUUCAGUUGCUCAAGAUAUUUUUAGAAGGUAUAAACUUUAUUUUUAUAGAGAAAAGCAGUGCUCACUUUGUUAAGAACAUAAAGGGAAAUCAACUAAUUCAAAUUUAUAAUUUCAAUGAAAGAAAAGAGUGUUCUAAUAUCUGACAGGGUAAUAAAUAUAAAAAAAAAUUUGCUACAGUGAUGAAACCAAAAAGGGGAUUUUCAACUAAAACAUAAAUGAAAUUGCCACAUCAAAAUAUCAUAUUUAUAUAAAAAUACAUAGUGAAGAAAGAUGAAUAAAAGUCUUACAAGUCCACAAAAGUAGAAAAUAUAAAAUAUAAUAAUAUAAUAUACCGAGUCAGGAAAAAAUAUAGCAUGUCACCCCAAAUUUUGUCUAUCUUCCUUCUUCCCUAUUUGCCUGCUUCCUUUCUUCAUCCCCUUCAGGGUUUCUAACCUUGUUGAAGAUGCUUCCUGGGAGUACAAAACAUUCAAUACCAUUUAUAUGCACAUAUAGCAGAGAAUUCCACUGAAAUGGGGUUUUUAAAAAAGAUUAAUAAAGCCUGAAAUGGAGCAAUAGAUAUUUCAGUAUUUGAGUGACAACAAAAGUAGAUGUCUGUAUAAAUCAGAGAGAGAUUCCUCUCCUGAGACAUGAUUCAAUACACUGUAUUGGAAAGGUAUUAUAGUUAGGCUCAAGAAAGAGUGAAUUACGGUGACAAAAAGAGAAGCUUCAUCCAGUAACCUACUUUUGUGGAUGUGAAUCAACAUGAUACUAAUAAAUACAUAGAGCAAAACCACAGUCUGGAUAACUCUUAAGCACACAGAGACCAUAGUAUAGGAGAAACAAGUAAUGAAAUUCAAUUUAGCCACUAGAGUAUUUCCCAGAGCCAAGCAUAAUUUUUUAAAAUACGUGAAUUUCCUUCCUUCCUUACACUAAGUAUUGGGUUUAGUAAAAUUGGCUAGAUAUACUCCCCAAUUUAUCCCUUCUCAAUACACAGGGCAAUCCUACAGCUUCCAAAUGGAAAGAGAAUAAGAUUGAGUGCCUAGCAAGUGUUAGAAAUUUUUACUUAACUAACAGAAUAUUUCCUGUUUAUAUUCAUAUACAUAUACUUAUAUAUUUAUGUUAUAUAUCUAUAUCUCUAUUGAUAAAAGUAAUAGUUUUUAUACAAAUAUUAAAGAUGACUAGUAAUACUACUAAGCCCAAUAAUAUAACUAUAGACAUCCUAGAGCGUAUAAACUUUAAAAAUAUUCAUGGUGUCCUAAUUUUUUUUAAUUUAAUUUAAUUUACAUUCAAUUAAUUAUCAUAUCAUGUAUUAUUCAUUUCAGAGGUAGAUCUCAGUAAUUCAUCAGUGUAUAUAACACCCAGUGCUCAUUAAUAUUACAUGCCCUCCUUAAUGCCCAUCACUCAAUUACCCAAUCCUCUCACCUCCCUCCCCUCCAGCAACCAUCAGUUUGUUUCCAAUGAUUAAGAGUCUCUUUAUGGUUUUUCUCACUCUCUGAUUUCAUUUUGUCUUAUUUUUUCCUUCCUUCCCCUAUGAUCUCCUGGGGAGAUCUUAAAUUCUUAAAUUCCACAUGAGUGAGAUCAUACAAUAACUUCCUUUCUCUGAUUGACUUAUUUCACUUAGCAUAAUACCCUCUAGUUCCAUCCAUGUCAUUACAAAUGGCAAGAUUUCUUUUUUUUGAUGGCUGAGUAGUAUUCCAUUGUGUGUGUGUGUGUGUGUGUGUGUGUGUAUAUAUAUAUAUAUAUAUAUAUAUAUAUAUAUAUAUAUAUAUAUAUAUAUACACAUAUAUGCCACAUCUUCUUUAUUCAUUCAUCUGUCACUGGACAUCUGGGCUUUUUCCAUAGUUUGGCUAUUGUGGACAUUACUGCUAUAAACAUUGGGAUGCAGGUGCCCCUUUGGAUCACUACAUUUGUAUCUUUGGGGUAGAUACCUAGUAGUGCAAUUGCUGGGUCAUAGGGUAGCUCUAUUUUCAACUUUUUGAGGAUCCUCCAUACUGUUUUCCAGAGUGGCUAUACCAGCUUGCAUUCCCACCAGCAGUGUAAGAGGGUUCUCCUUUCUCCAGAUCCUCACCAACAUCUGUUGUUUCCUGACUAAUUAAUGUUAGCCAUUCUGACUGGUGUGAGGUGUUAUCUCACUGUGGUUUUGAUUUGUAUUUCCCUGAUGCCAAGUCAUGUUGAGCAUUUUUUCAUGUAUCUGUUGGCCAUUUGUAUGUCUUCUUUGGAGAAACGUCUGUUUAUGUCUUCUGCACAUUUCUUGACUGGAUUAUUUUUUCUUUGGGUGUUAAGUUUGAAUAGUUCUCAGUAGAUUUUGGAUACUAUCCCUUUAUUUGAUAAGGCAUUUGCAAAUAUCUUCUCCCAUUCUGAUUUUGCUGACAGUCUCCUUUGCUGUGCAAAAGCUUUUCAUCUUGAUGAAGUGCCAAUAGUCCAUUUUUGCCUUUGUUUCCCUUGCCUUGGAGAUGUGUCUAGCAAGAAGUUGCUGGGGCCAAGGUCAAAGACAUUGCUGCCUGCGUUCUCCUCUAGAAUUUUAAUGGAUUCCUGUCUCACAUUUAGGUCAUUAAUCCAUUUUGAGUUUAUUUUUGUGUUUAGUAUAAGAAAAUGGUCCAGUGUCAUUGUUCUGCAUGUGGCUGUCCAAUUUCCCCAACACCAUUUGUUGAAGAGACUGUUUUUCUUCCAUUGGAUAUUCUUUCCUACUUUGUCAAAGAUUAGUUGACCACAAAGUUGAGGGUCCAUUUCUGGGUUCUUUUUUCUGUUCCUUUGAUUUUUGUGUCUAUUUUUGCACCAGUACCAUACUGUCUUGAUGAUUACAUCUUUGUAAUAUAGUUUGAAGUCUGGCAUUGUGAUGCCACCAGCUUUAGUUUUCUUUAUCAACAUUCCUUUGGCUAUUUGGGUGUCCUUUCUGGUUCCAUACAAAUUUUAGGAUUAUUUAUUCCAGCUCUGUGAUAAACAUUAAUGGUAUAUUGAUAGGGAGUGCAAUGAAUGUGUAGAAUGCUCUCGGUAGCAUUUUCUUUUAUUGGAAAAACAAAUAUUGUUAAAAUAUUUGGAAGAACAAAUUUUAACAAUAUUUGUUCUUCCAAUCCAUGAGCAUGGGAUGACCCAUUUCUUUGUGUCUUCCUCAAUCUCUUUCAUGAGUGUUCUAUCAUUUUUAGACUACAGAUCCUUUGUCUCUUUGGUUAGGCUUAUUCCUAGGUAUCUUAUGUUUUUGGCACAAUUGUAAAUGGGAUAAAUUCCUUAAUUUGUCUUUCUUCUUUCUCAGUAUUAGUGUAUAGAAAUGCAACUGGGGGCAGCCCCGGUGGCUUAGCAGUUUAGCACCACCUUUAGCCCAGGACCUGAUCCUGAAGACCCAGGAUCGAGUCCCAUGUCAGGCUCCCCGCAUGGAGCCUGCUUCUCCCUCUGCCUGUGUCUGUGUGUGUGUGUGUGUGUGUGUGUGUGUGUAUCUCAUGAAUAAAUAAAUAAAAUCCUUAAAAAAAAAAAAA
This 5097-nucleotide long non-coding RNA is filed under the name Canis lupus familiaris (dog). RNAcentral describes it as "lncRNA (ENSCAFG00845020379.1)". The record is from RNAcentral. Lineage: Eukaryota; Metazoa; Chordata; Mammalia; Carnivora; Canidae.